This 363-nucleotide ribosomal RNA is filed under the name Escherichia coli. Its description in RNAcentral is "bacterial SSU rRNA". It matches the Rfam family "Bacterial small subunit ribosomal RNA", at positions 1 to 360 of the family's 1533-position model. Lineage: Bacteria; Pseudomonadati; Pseudomonadota; Gammaproteobacteria; Enterobacterales; Enterobacteriaceae. The record is from RNAcentral.
AAAUUGAAGAGUUUGAUCAUGGCUCAGAUUGAACGCUGGCGGCAGGCCUAACACAUGCAAGUCGAACGGUAACAGGAAGCAGCUUGCUGCUUUGCUGACGAGUGGCGGACGGGUGAGUAAUGUCUGGGAAACUGCCUGAUGGAGGGGGAUAACUACUGGAAACGGUAGCUAAUACCGCAUAACGUCGCAAGACCAAAGAGGGGGACCUUCGGGCCUCUUGCCAUCGGAUGUGCCCAGAUGGGAUUAGCUAGUAGGUGGGGUAACGGCUCACCUAGGCGACGAUCCCUAGCUGGUCUGAGAGGAUGACCAGCCACACUGGAACUGAGACACGGUCCAGACUCCUACGGGAGGCAGCAGUGGGGA